GGUGGUGGACGACGUCCUCUGGUCCCUGGUCACGGCGUUCGAGUCGGUCGCCUUGGUGGCCAUGCUGUGCUUCUUCUUCCUCUGCUGUGGCUGCACCGUAUGAUCCAAGCUUCGUCGGUAAGUUGUUCCUUCUGCAGUACUUGUGAGUGAGCUCGUUAGAUGAACAAGAAAGCUUGUAGUAGCGGUAUGUAAAUGCUUGCGUUUGCUAUAUCCGAAGGUAUUGUUGUCCUUCAAAGCUAUGCUAAACCCAAUCAAGAAGUA
This 261-nucleotide long non-coding RNA is filed under the name Musa acuminata (dwarf banana). RNAcentral's name for it is "long non-coding RNA (MACU_LNC000704)". The record is from RNAcentral. Lineage: Eukaryota; Viridiplantae; Streptophyta; Magnoliopsida; Zingiberales; Musaceae.